AACGAACGCUGGCGGCAUGCCUAACACAUGCAAGUCGAACGAGACCUUCGGGUCCAGUGGCGCACGGGUGCGUAACGCGUGGGAACCUGCCCUUAGGUUCGGAAUAACUCCCCGAAAGGGGUGCUAAUACCGGAUAAUGUCUUCGGACCAAAGAUUUAUCGCCUUUGGAUGGGCCCGCGUUGGAUUAGCUAGUUGGUAGGGUAAAAGCCUACCAAGGCGACGAUCCAUAGCUGGUCUGAGAGGAUGAUCAGCCACACUGGGACUGAGACACGGCCCAGACUCCUACGGGAGGCAGCAGUGGGGAAUAUUGGACAAUGGGCGAAAGCCUGAUCCAGCAAUGCCGCGUGAGUGAUGAAGGCCUUAGGGUUGUAAAGCUCUUUUACCCGGGAUGAUAAUGACAGUACCGGGAGAAUAAGCUCCGGCUAACUCCGU
RNAcentral lists this ribosomal RNA (432 nucleotides) under uncultured bacterium. RNAcentral describes it as "partial 16S ribosomal RNA". It matches the Rfam family "Bacterial small subunit ribosomal RNA", at positions 29 to 506 of the family's 1533-position model. The record is from RNAcentral.